CAGCAGCCGCGGUAAUACAGAGGGUGCGAGCGUUAAUCGGAUUUACUGGGCGUAAAGCGUGCGUAGGCGGCUUCUUAAGUCGGAUGUGAAAUCCCUGAGCUUAACUUAGGAAUUGCAUUCGAUACUGGGAAGCUAGAGUAUGGGAGAGGAUGGUAGAAUUCCAGGUGUAGCGGUGAAAUGCGUAGAGAUCUGGAGGAAUACCGAUGGCGAAGGCAGCCAUCUGGCCUAAUACUGACGCUGAGGUACGAAAGCAUGGGGAGCAAACAGGAUUAGAUACCCCCGUAGUCCCUGUUUCUUAUAC
RNAcentral lists this ribosomal RNA (301 nucleotides) under uncultured bacterium. Its description in RNAcentral is "partial 16S ribosomal RNA". It matches the Rfam family "Bacterial small subunit ribosomal RNA", at positions 509 to 807 of the family's 1533-position model. The record is from RNAcentral.